Long non-coding RNA from Oreochromis aureus, 322 nucleotides. RefSeq lists it as uncharacterized. The record is from RefSeq and is a predicted model, not a curated record. The transcript is spliced from 3 exons. Lineage: Eukaryota; Metazoa; Chordata; Actinopteri; Cichliformes; Cichlidae.
AGUGGAGCUUAUUGUUGGUGUCUCUAUUUGAAGAAACUGCAAACACUUUUGAAUCUAAGACUCUCCCAUUCCUCUCGGGCUGAUCCUUGCUGGAACCUGGGCAACGCCACCCCACCCCAACUGGACCUAUCUACACAAUCUAAUCUACACAAGAAACGCUACAGGAAACGCGGUAGAAGGAGUGGCUGUCGCGUUCGCCUCAGGGUCUACUUUAAAGUUCUUAAAUGACUUCCUCUCCACUAAUGGAAUUGAUGCUUAAUUCCUGAUUGAAACCUGGAUUCGUCCUGGUGAAGGUAGAAAGUGUGUGUGAGCUGAAUUGAGC